GUGUGUUUCUCUUUAGGUAACUUUUUGCAUCAUAAUAGAAUAUAUUUUAUGCUUUAAUUAUUUCCCUCUCAAAUCUUGGAUGAUUCUAGCAAUGUCCAAGGAUACAAUUGGCGGAGUUUCUUUUGUUUUAAAAAACAUGAUAAACAAGUACAGAAUGUGCGCAAGCAGGAAGAAACUGACCUAAAGCUGCUGGUGUCUGACUGGACAGAAACUCAAGUUGGCCAUUGGUUAAAGAGUAUUGGAAUGAAAAAAUAUAUCCUGAAAUUUGAUUAUAAAAGAGUAAGCAGUCAAGAACUUCUUGAAUUAGACAAUGAUGCAUUAAAAUGCAUUGGAAUCACUAAGAAGAGAGAUCGCAAGAAAAUCCUUAAGGGAAUUAAGAAAAUUCAACAGACAGAAAAAAAUUAAUACAAUCUAACAAUUAAAUAUAUCAAAAAGAUAAUUCUGGAAGAUACAGCAAAAAUGAGAAAAAUAUAAUUACAUGAUAUUUACCUUUAA
Long non-coding RNA from Monodelphis domestica (gray short-tailed opossum), 495 nucleotides. RefSeq lists it as uncharacterized. Lineage: Eukaryota; Metazoa; Chordata; Mammalia; Didelphimorphia; Didelphidae. The record is from RefSeq and is a predicted model, not a curated record.